AUCAACCAAUAACGCAAUGACCGACGAUGAACAACAUCAAAUAAAUCACGUCAUUAGAUCGCUUCACUUUAAUCGGCCUUUGAUAUGUGUAUAAAAAAACAUCCAAAUACUCAAUUCUAACACAACACAUUGUUUGUACAGUUUUAUUUUCUUUUUUCAAAUCAAUCCUUAAAAACCAACCGAAAAAUCAAAAAUGGGCGCUGAAAAAGUAUUCAUAAACAUCGUCGUCGUCGGACAAGUCCAAUCUGCCAAGGCCAUCAACACCGUCGCCAAGUCUACACAAGCCACCAACCAUGUACUCAUGGUGCGUACAUAAUAUUAUAUGUACAUUAUAUACAGGAAUUGUUAAUUCGUGUACUCUAUCUAUCAAAAACCUAAAAAUGCCAUAAUCCAAACAGUGCAAUAAUAUGUACCUAAUUCAUAUUAGUAUUGACGUCAAAAAAUAAAUCAGUUAUUUCGAUGUACAGA
Rhopalosiphum padi (bird cherry-oat aphid) is the source of this 468-nucleotide long non-coding RNA. RefSeq lists it as uncharacterized. The transcript has 3 exons. The record is from RefSeq and is a predicted model, not a curated record. Lineage: Eukaryota; Metazoa; Arthropoda; Insecta; Hemiptera; Aphididae.